GACGAACGCUGGCGGCGUGCCUAACACAUGCAAGUCCACGAGAAAGCGGUAGCAAUACUGCCGGUAAAGUGGCGAACGGGUGAGUAACACGUAGGUAACUUGCCCUUGGGACUGGAAUAACCUCGAGAAAUCGGGGCUAAUACCGGAUAAUGCAGCGGACCCGCAUGGGUAUGUUGUUAAAGUGGUCUUGGCUUGCCAAGUUCACACCUAAGGAUGGACCUGCGUCCCAUUAGCUAGUUGGGAGGUAACGGCUCACCAAGGCGACGAUGGGUAGCCGGCCUGAGAGGGUGUCC
Molecule: ribosomal RNA, 293 nt
Filed under: uncultured bacterium
Lineage: Bacteria
Description: partial 16S ribosomal RNA
Rfam family: Bacterial small subunit ribosomal RNA
Source: RNAcentral